This 379-nucleotide long non-coding RNA is filed under the name Prunus persica (peach). RNAcentral's name for it is "long non-coding RNA (PPER_LNC000443)". Lineage: Eukaryota; Viridiplantae; Streptophyta; Magnoliopsida; Rosales; Rosaceae. The record is from RNAcentral.
UGGACUUUAAGAGGUAGUUUCCUACUUUUCAUUGUUAGGUAUAGGGAGCUGCUAGAAUGCAGAGGUUAUUGUGAGGAGGUUAUGUGCGGAAUGAUAACUAGGCCAUUAGAUUGAUCAAAUGGCUAACAUUAGUAUCCGCUUUAUGCUACAACCGGGUUGGCAUUACCCGUUGAGCAAUGCUAUUCACAAUCGAAGUACUCAAUGUCUACCUUCUUCUCUCUCUCUCUUUCUCUCUUAUUUUAAUUAGUUUUUCUCUUUUCUCUCGGUUGUCUCCCUCUUUCUUUUAUUUUUCUUCUCUCUUUUAUUAUUCUUCUCUUUGUUGCCUCACUCACCUCUUCUCUCGUCUGUUUUCUCUCUCCCUUUCACCCACAUCGGCGAC